RNAcentral lists this ribosomal RNA (484 nucleotides) under uncultured bacterium. RNAcentral's name for it is "bacterial SSU rRNA". It matches the Rfam family "Bacterial small subunit ribosomal RNA", at positions 30 to 507 of the family's 1533-position model. The record is from RNAcentral.
AUUGAACGCUGGCGGCAUGCCUUACACGUGCAAGUCGAACGGCAGCACGGGAGCAAUCCUGGUGGCGAGUGGCGAACGGGUGAGUAAUAUAUCGGAACGUGCCCAGUCGUGGGGGAUAACGUAGCGAAAGCUACGCUAAUACCGCAUACGAUCUACGGAUGAAAGCGGGGGAUCGCAAGACCUCGCGCGAUUGGAGCGGCCGAUAUCAGAUUAGCUAGUUGGUGGGGUAAAAGCUCACCAAGGCGACGAUCUGUAGCUGGUCUGAGAGGACGACCAGCCACACUGGAACUGAGACACGGUCCAGACUCCUACGGGAGGCAGCAGUGGGGAAUUUUGGACAAUGGGCGCAAGCCUGAUCCAGCAAUGCCGCGUGCAGGAUGAAGGCCUUCGGGUUGUAAACUGCUUUUGUACGGAACGAAACGGUGAGCUCUAAUAAAGCUUGCUAAUGACGGUACCGUAAGAAUAAGCACCGGCUAACUACGUG